RNAcentral lists this transfer RNA (65 nucleotides) under Glycera cf. tridactyla FS20. RNAcentral describes it as "tRNA-Phe". The record is from RNAcentral. Lineage: Eukaryota; Metazoa; Annelida; Polychaeta; Phyllodocida; Glyceridae.
GUUUUGAUAGCUUAAUAAAAGCGUGACAUUGAAGAUGUUAAUAUGAGACUAGUGCUCUCAGAACA